Molecule: ribosomal RNA, 243 nt
Filed under: uncultured Eubacteriales bacterium
Lineage: Bacteria; Bacillati; Bacillota; Clostridia; Eubacteriales
Description: uncultured Clostridiales bacterium partial 16S ribosomal RNA
Rfam family: Bacterial small subunit ribosomal RNA
Source: RNAcentral
CACGCCGUAAACGAUGAGUGCUAGGUGUUGGGGGUCGAACCUCAGUGCCGCAGUUAACACAUUAAGCACUCCGCCUGGGGAGUACGACCGCAAGGUUGAAACUCAAAGGAAUUGACGGGGGCCCGCACAAGCAGCGGAGCAUGUGGUUUAAUUCGAAGCAACGCGAAGAACCUUACCAGGACUUGACAUCAUCUGACAACCCAAGAGAUUGGGCUUUCCCUUCGGGGACAGAUAGACAGGUGG